AGUGAACGCUGGCGGUAGGCCUAACACAUGCAAGUCGAACGGCAGCACAGUAAGAGCUUGCUCUUACGGGUGGCGAGUGGCGGACGGGUGAGGAAUACAUCGGAAUCUACUUUUUCGUGGGGGAUAACGUAGGGAAACUUACGCUAAUACCGCAUACGACCUACGGGUGAAAGCAGGGGAUCUUCGGACCUUGCGCGAUUGAAUGAGCCGAUGUCGGAUUAGCUAGUUGGCGGGGUAAGGACCCACCAAGGCGACGAUCCGUAGCUGGUCUGAGAGGAUGAUCAGCCACACUGGAACUGAGACACGGUCCAGACUCCUACGGGAGGCAGCAGUGGGGAGUAUUGGACAAUGGGCGCAAGCCUGAUCCAGCCAUACCGCGUGGGUGAAGAAGGCCUUCGGGUUGUAAAGCCCUUUUGUUGGGAAAGAAAAGCAGCAGGUUAAUACCCCGCUGUUCUGACGGUACCCAAAGAAUAAGCACCGGCUAACUUCGUG
This 492-nucleotide ribosomal RNA is filed under the name uncultured bacterium. Its description in RNAcentral is "partial 16S ribosomal RNA". It matches the Rfam family "Bacterial small subunit ribosomal RNA", at positions 29 to 507 of the family's 1533-position model. The record is from RNAcentral.